UGGGGAAUUUUGGACAAUGGGCGAAAGCCUGAUCCAGCAAUGCCGCGUGUGUGAAGAAGGCCUUCGGGUUGUAAAGCACUUUUGUCCGGAAAGAAAUCCUUGGCUCUAAUACAGUCGGGGGAUGACGGUACCGGAAGAAUAAGCACCGGCUAACUACGUGCCAGCAGCCGCGGUAAUACGUAGGGUGCAAGCGUUAAUCGGAAUUACUGGGCGUAAAGCGUGCGCAGGCGGUUUGCUAAGACCGAUGUGAAAUCCCCGGGCUCAACCUGGGAACUGCAUUGGUGACUGGCAGGCUAGAGUAUGGCAGAGGGGGGUAGAAUUCCACGUGUAGCAGUGAAAUGCGUAGAGAUGUGGAGGAAUACCGAUGGCGAAGGCAGCCCCCUGGGCCAAAUACUGACGCUCAUGCACGAAAAGCGUGGGGAGCAAAACAGGAUUAGAUACCCUGGUAGUCCACGCCCUAAAACGAUGUCAACUAGUUGUUGGGGAUUCAUUUCCUUAGUAACGUAGCUAACGCGUGAAGUUGACCGCCUGGGGAGUACGGUCGCAAGAUUAAAACUUAAAUGAAUUGACGGGGUCAUAGCUGUUUCCU
RNAcentral lists this ribosomal RNA (589 nucleotides) under uncultured bacterium. RNAcentral's name for it is "partial 16S ribosomal RNA". It matches the Rfam family "Bacterial small subunit ribosomal RNA", at positions 355 to 1375 of the family's 1533-position model. The record is from RNAcentral.